GUUGAGGUGGCAGAGCCCGGUUACUGCAAAAGACUUAAACUCUUUUCACAGAGGUUCAAUUCCUCUCCUUUACU
RNAcentral lists this transfer RNA (74 nucleotides) under Chaetodontoplus poliourus (greytail angelfish). RNAcentral describes it as "tRNA-Leu". It matches the Rfam family "tRNA". From Rfam's summary of the family: Transfer RNA (tRNA) molecules are approximately 80 nucleotides in length. The record is from RNAcentral. Lineage: Eukaryota; Metazoa; Chordata; Actinopteri; Pomacanthidae.